This is a long non-coding RNA of Daucus carota subsp. sativus, 427 nucleotides long. RefSeq lists it as uncharacterized. NCBI's taxonomy places the organism in Eukaryota, Viridiplantae, Streptophyta, Magnoliopsida, Apiales, Apiaceae. The transcript is spliced from 3 exons. The record is from RefSeq and is a predicted model, not a curated record.
GAGAGGAGUAGUUUAAAUAGCAAACCACUGGAAGAUGUCUCUCUUACAAGAAAUCCAUUGUCUAACAUAACUAAUGAAAAGGAGAGACAUUUUGUUCAACGCAGAAAACUAGAUUCACGAUCUAAUCAUACUAAUCUUGCUCAUGCAGAGACGAGUAGUUUAAAUAGCCAACCACCGGAAGAUGUCUCUCUUACAAGAAUUCCACUGUCUAACAUAACUAAUGAAAAGGAGAGCCCUUUCGGUCAAGGCAGAAAAUGGCUCUCAAGAGCUUCUAAAAGUAAUCUUGAAAGUACAACAAGGAAUUUGUUUGAUGAUAGCUUUGCUAAUCAAGAACCAAGCACCAAAUACUUUGCAGAUGAUGAUAUUGAGUGUUCAACAGUUCAGCACCCUGUUUUAUCGGAUGAUUCGGACAGUGAUUUCUCAUGUG